UGGCAAAGUGAGGAGUUCACAUCAGGACAGGGAAUGGAGGAGGGCAAGAAGUGAAGGGCAAAACCCACAGCCUGGGAAGGAGGGAGGCAUAAAACCCAGAGUGCCAGGUGGAGGAAUAAUGGAAGUGAGGACUAUGGGUACAUAAGGAAAGACUGAAUGAGGGUGGAGUUGGAAAAAAAGGGAAGAAGAGACGAAAGCGUGCUUGUAAAACAGAGUUCAGCAAGGAAAAGAGAUACAGCGGGGAAAAGAGAGGCCAGCGACGGGAGGUGCAAAGCAGACAGAGAAAAAGGUGAAAGGUUUAACAGCUGUAGACAUAGCAUGGCCACACCUCUUAACUGAAAAGACAGCAAGAGAUGGGGGCCGUCAUGCCAAAAUGGUGCCACAGAAACAGACUGCCUACUGCAACAAAGGCCAGCCUGCAUGUCUGUGUGGGGCCCUUUCCCCUGGCUUCUCUGAAGCAUACUAAGCCCAGGCAAGAGUCUACAGGAGCUCCAUCUCACCCAAGUUUCUGCACACACUGCUCAUAAGAAAUAUGCUUGUACUUUACAGCGUGUCCUUCACCUUCAGGAACUAAUUUUUUUUUCUAUCAUUUAAAAAGUA
Phacochoerus africanus (Common warthog) is the source of this 600-nucleotide long non-coding RNA. RefSeq lists it as uncharacterized. NCBI's taxonomy places the organism in Eukaryota, Metazoa, Chordata, Mammalia, Artiodactyla, Suidae. The transcript is spliced from 3 exons. The record is from RefSeq and is a predicted model, not a curated record.